RNAcentral lists this ribosomal RNA (495 nucleotides) under Sungouiella intermedia. Its description in RNAcentral is "eukaryotic LSU rRNA". It matches the Rfam family "Eukaryotic large subunit ribosomal RNA", at positions 70 to 632 of the family's 3401-position model. The record is from RNAcentral. Lineage: Eukaryota; Fungi; Ascomycota; Pichiomycetes; Serinales; Metschnikowiaceae.
AGGGAUUGCCUCAGUAACGGCGAGUGAAGCGGCAAAAGCUCAAAUUUGAAAUCCUUCGGGAGUUGUAAUUUGUAGGUUGGGAGACCCCGCGGCUAGUGGCACCAAGUCCCUUGGAACAGGGCGCCUUAGAGGGUGAGAGCCCCGUAGGUACCACAACACCGUCUUGUGUCUCCUCUCCAAAGAGUCGAGUUGUUUGGGAAUGCAGCUCAAAGUGGGUGGUAAAUUCCAUCUAAAGCUAAAUACCGGCGAGAGACCGAUAGCGAACAAGUACAGUGAUGGAAAGAUGAAAAGCACUUUGAAAAGAGAGUGAAACAGUACGUGAAAUUGUUGAAAGGGAAGGGCUUGCAAGCAGACACGGCCUUCGUGCCGGGCCAGCAUCGGUUGCUAGGGGUGGAUAAGGAACAAGGAAUGUAGCUCCUCGGAGUAUUAUAGCCUUGCGCGAUACACCCACUGGCGACCGAGGCCUGCGGUAUUCUUUACCUAGGAUGCUGGCGU